AACGAACGCUGGCGGCAUGCCUAACACAUGCAAGUCGAACGAGAACGUCGGGUCUAGUGGCGCACGGGUGCGUAACGAGGGGGAACCUGCCCUUAGGUUCGGAAUAACUCCCCGAAAGGGGAGCUAAUACCGGUUAGGGUCUUCGGGCAAAGGAGCUAGCGCCUUUGGAUGGGGCCGGGUUGGUUUAGGCGGUUGGGGGGGUAAAAGCGUACCAUGGCGAUGAUCCAUGGGUGGUCUGAGAGGAGGAUCAGCCACACUGGGACUGAGACACGGCCCAGACGCCUACGAGAGGCAGCAGUGGGGAAUAUAGGACAAGGGGCGAAAGCCUGAUCCAGCGAUGCCGCGUGAGUGAUGAAGGGCUUAGAGUUGUAAAGCUCUUUUACCCGAGAUGAUAAUGACAGUACCGGGAGAAUAAGCUCCGGCUAACUCCGU
Molecule: ribosomal RNA, 432 nt
Filed under: uncultured bacterium
Lineage: Bacteria
Description: partial 16S ribosomal RNA
Rfam family: Bacterial small subunit ribosomal RNA
Source: RNAcentral